GACAGAGGGUGCAAACGUUGUUCGGAAUUACUGGGCGUAAAGCGCGUGUAGGCGGCUUCGCAAGUCGGGUGUGAAAUCCCACGGCUCAACCGUGGAAGUGCAUUCGAUACUGAGAGUCUCGAGUCCGAGAGAGGUGAGUGGAACUGCGAGUGUAGAGGUGAAAUUCGUAGAUAUUCGCAAGAACACCAGUGGCGAAGGCGGCUCACUGGCUCGGUACUGACGCUGAGGUGCGAAAGCGUGGGGAGCAAACAGG
RNAcentral lists this ribosomal RNA (253 nucleotides) under uncultured bacterium. Its description in RNAcentral is "partial 16S ribosomal RNA". It matches the Rfam family "Bacterial small subunit ribosomal RNA", at positions 524 to 776 of the family's 1533-position model. The record is from RNAcentral.